This 253-nucleotide ribosomal RNA is filed under the name uncultured bacterium. RNAcentral describes it as "partial 16S ribosomal RNA". It matches the Rfam family "Bacterial small subunit ribosomal RNA", at positions 524 to 776 of the family's 1533-position model. The record is from RNAcentral.
UACGUAGGGGGCAAGCGUUGUCCGGAUUUAUUGGGCGUAAAGAGCGUGUAGGCGGCCAGACAGGUCCGUUGUGAAAACUAGAGGCUUAACCUCUAGACGUCGAUGGAAACCGUCUGGCUAGAGUCCGGAAGAGGAGAAUGGAAUUCCUGGUGUAGCGGUGAAAUGCGCAGAUAUCAGGAAGAACACCCGUGGCUAAGGCGGUUCUCUAGUACGGUACUGACGCUGAGACGCAAAAGCGUGGGGAGCGAACAGG